RNAcentral lists this ribosomal RNA (1343 nucleotides) under uncultured bacterium. Its description in RNAcentral is "16S ribosomal RNA". It matches the Rfam family "Bacterial small subunit ribosomal RNA", at positions 28 to 1378 of the family's 1533-position model. The record is from RNAcentral.
GACGAACGCUAGCGGCGUGCUUAACACAUGCAAGUCGAACGGAAAGGCCCUGCUUUUGUGGGGUGCUCGAGUGGCGAACGGGUGAGUAACACGUGAGUAACCUGCCCUUGACUUUGGGAUAACUUCAGGAAACUGGGGCUAAUACCGGAUAGGAGCUCCUGCUGCAUGGUGGGGGUUGGAAAGUUUCGGCGGUUGGGGAUGGACUCGCGGCUUAUCAGCUUGUUGGUGGGGUAGUGGCUUACCAAGGCUUUGACGGGUAGCCGGCCUGAGAGGGUGACCGGCCACAUUGGGACUGAGAUACGGCCCAGACUCCUACGGGAGGCAGCAGUGGGGAAUAUUGCACAAUGGGCGGAAGCCUGAUGCAGCAACGCCGCGUGCGGGAUGACGGCCUUCGGGUUGUAAACCGCUUUCGCCUGUGACGAAGCGUGAGUGACGGUAAUGGGUAAAGAAGCACCGGCUAACUACGUGCCAGCAGCCGCGGUGAUACGUAGGGUGCGAGCGUUGUCCGGAUUUAUUGGGCGUAAAGGGCUCGUAGGUGGUUGAUCGCGUCGGAAGUGUAAUCUUGGGGCUUAACCCUGAGCGUGCUUUCGAUACGGGUUGACUUGAGGAAGGUAGGGGAGAAUGGAAUUCCUGGUGGAGCGGUGGAAUGCGCAGAUAUCAGGAGGAACACCAGUGGCGAAGGCGGUUCUCUGGGCCUUUCCUGACGCUGAGGAGCGAAAGCGUGGGGAGCGAACAGGCUUAGAUACCCUGGUAGUCCACGCUGUAAACGGUGGGUACUAGGUGUGGGGUCCAUUCCACGGGUUCCGUGCCGUAGCUAACGCUUUAAGUACCCCGCCUGGGGAGUACGGCCGCAAGGCUAAAACUCAAAGGAAUUGACGGGGCCCCGCACAAGCGGCGGAGCAUGCGGAUUAAUUCGAUGCAACGCGUAGAACCUUACCUGGGUUUGACAUGGAUCGGGAGUGCUCAGAGAUGGGUGUGCCUCUUUUGGGGUCGGUUCACAGGUGGUGCAUGGCUGUCGUCAGCUCGUGUCGUGAGAUGUUGGGUUAAGUCCCGCAACGAGCGCAACCCUUGUUCACUGUUGCCAGCACGUUAUGGUGGGGACUCAGUGGAGACCGCCGGGGUCAACUCGGAGGAAGGUGGGGAUGACGUCAAGCCAUCAUGCCCCUUAUGUCCAGGGCUUCACGCAUGCUACAAUGGCUGGUACAGAGAGUGGCGAGCCUGUGAGGGUGAGCGAAUCUCGGAAAGCCGGUCUCAGUUCGGAUUGGGGUCUGCAACUCGACCUCAUGAAGUCGGAGUCGCUAGUAAUCGCAGAUCAGCAACGCUGCGGUGAAUACGUUCCCGGG